GCUUCCGAGGAGCGCUGCGAGGUGCCGCAAGGCCCCCAGGCUCGGACCCCGCCAGACCGUCGCCGGUCGCGGGCACAUUUGUAACGGCGCUCACCUGAA
Molecule: non-coding RNA, 99 nt
Filed under: Methyloversatilis sp. RAC08
Lineage: Bacteria; Pseudomonadati; Pseudomonadota; Betaproteobacteria; Nitrosomonadales; Sterolibacteriaceae
Also listed under: 1 other name
Description: SAH (S-adenosyl-L-homocysteine) riboswitch aptamer
Rfam family: SAH (S-adenosyl-L-homocysteine) riboswitch aptamer
Source: Rfam by way of RNAcentral